This 2018-nucleotide long non-coding RNA is filed under the name Salmo salar (Atlantic salmon). Its description in RNAcentral is "lncRNA (ENSSSAG00000120856.1)". Lineage: Eukaryota; Metazoa; Chordata; Actinopteri; Salmoniformes; Salmonidae. The record is from RNAcentral.
GUGUGUGUGUGUGUGUGUGUGUGUGUGUGUGUGUGUGUGUGUUGUGUGUGUGUGUGUGUAGUGUGUUUGUCAGUGUGUGUAGUGUGUUUGUCAGUGUGUGUGUAUUGUGUGUUUGUCAGUGUGUGUGUGUAGUGUGUGUUUGUCAGUGUGUGUGUGUAGUGUGUGUUUGUCAGUGUGUGUCUGCAGUGUGUGUGUGUAGUGUGUGUUUGUCAGUGUGAGUGUGUAGUGUGUGUUUGUCAGUGUGUGUGUGUGUAGUCUGUGUGUGCAGUGUGUGUUUGUCAGUGUUUGUGUGCAGUGUGUGUUUGUCAGUCUGUGUGUGCGUGUAGUGUAUGUUUGUCAGUUGUGUGUGUUUGUCAGUGUGUGUGUGUGUGUGUAGUGUGUUUGUCAGUGUGUGUAGUGUGUUUGUCAGUGUGUGUGUAGUGUGUGCUUGUCAGUGUGUGUGUGUAGUGUGUGUUUGUCAGUGUGUGUGUGUAGUGUGUGUUUGUCAGUGUGUGUCUGCAGUGUGUGUGUGUAGUGUGUGUUUGUCAGUGUGUGUUUGUCAGUGUGUGUGUGUAGUGUGUGUUUGUCAGUGUGAGUGUGUAGUGUGUGUUUGUCAGUGUGUGUGUGUGUAGUCUGUGUGUGCAGUGUGUGUUUGUCAGUGUGUGUGUGCAGUGUGUGUUUGUCAGUCUGUGUGUGCUAGUGUGUGUUUGUCUGUGUUUGUGUGUGUGUAGUGUGUGUUUGUCAGUGUGUGUGUGUGUGUAGUGUGUGUUUGUCAGUGUGUGUGUGUAUGUGUGUGUGUGUAGUGUGUGUUUGUCAGUGUGUGUUUGUCAGUGUGUGUGUGUGUGUGUGUGUAGUGUGUGUUUGUCAGUGUGUGUGUGUAGUGUGUGUUUGUCAGUGUGUGUUUGUCAGUGUGUGUGUGUGUGUGUGUGUGUGUGUGUGUGUGUGUGUAGUGUGUGUUUGUCAGUGUGUGUUUGUCAGUGUGUGUGUGUGUGUGUGUGUGUGUGUGUGUGUGUGUGUGUGUGUGUGUGUGUGUGUGUGUGUGCAGUGUGUGUUUGUCAGUGUGUGUAUGUAAUGUGUGUUUGUCAGUGUGUGUGUGUUUGUAGAGAAAGAGGAAGUGUCUACUAGAACCACCACAGAGAGAACAGACUGAGGACAGACCUUAUUGAAGGUACUGUAACAGGAGUAGUGUAGGGUGUAGUGAAGGUACUGUAACAGGAGUAGUGUAGGGUGUUGUGAAGGUACUGUAACAGGAGUAGUGUAGGGUGUAGUGAAGGUACUGUAACAGGAGUAGUGUAGGAUGUAGUGAAGGUACUGUAACAGGAGUAGUGUAGGGUGUUGUGAAGGUGCUGUAACAGGAGUUGUGUAGUGAAGGUACUGUGACAGGAGUAGUGUAGGGUAUAGUGAAAGUACUGUAACAGGAUUAGUGUAGGGUGUAGUGAAGGUACUGUAACAGGAGUAGUGUAGGGUGUAGUGAAGGUACUGUAACAGGAGUAGUGUAGGGUGUUGUGAAGGUGCUGUAACAGGAGUUGUGUAGUGAAGGUACUGUGACAGGAGUAGUGUAGGGUAUAGUGAAAGUACUGUAACAGGAUUAGUGUAGGGUGUAGUGAAGGUACUGUAACAGGAGUAGUGUAGGGUGUAGUGAAGGUACUGUAACAGGAGUAGUGUAGGGUGUUGUGAAGGUGCUGCAACAGGAGUAGUGUAGGGUGUAGUGAAGGUAGCGUAACAGGAGUAGUGUAGGGUGUAGUGAAGGUACUGUGACAGGAGUAGUGUAGGGUGUAGUGAAGGUACUGUAACAGGAGCAGUGUAGGGUGUAGUGAAGGUACUGUAACAGAAGUAGUGAAGAUACUGUAACAGGAGUAGGUUAGGGUGUAGUGAAGGUACUGUAACAGGAGUAUUGUAGGGUGUAGUGAAGGUACUGUAACAGGAGUAGUGUAGGGUGUAGUGAAGGUACUGUAACAGGAGUAGUGUAGGGUGUAGUGAAGGUACUGUAACAGGAGUAGUGUAGGGUGUAGUGAAGGUACUGUAACAGGAGUAGUGUA